GCUCCAGACUCCUACGGGAGGCAGCAGUGGGGGAUAUUGCACAAUGGGCGCAAGCCUGAUGCAGCGACGCCGCGUGAGCGAAGAAGUAUCUCGGUAUGUAAAGCUCUAUCAGCAGGGAAGAAAAUGACGGUACCUGAAGAAGAAGCCCCGGCUAACUACGUGCCAGCAGCCGCGGUAAUACGUAGGGGGCAAGCGUUAUCCGGAUUUACUGGGUGUAAAGGGGGCGCAGACGGCGAUGCAAGCCAGGAGUGAAAGCCCGGGGCCCAACCCCGGGACUGCUCUUGGAACUGCGUGGCUGGAGUGCAGGAGGGGCAGGCGGAAUUCCUGGUGUAGCGGUGAAAUGCGUAGAUAUCAGGAGGAACACCGGUGGCGAAGGCGGCCUGCUGGACUGCAACUGACGUUGAGGCCCGAAAGCGUGGGGAGCAAACAGGAUUAGAUACCCCCGUA
Molecule: ribosomal RNA, 447 nt
Filed under: uncultured bacterium
Lineage: Bacteria
Description: partial 16S ribosomal RNA
Rfam family: Bacterial small subunit ribosomal RNA
Source: RNAcentral